RNAcentral lists this ribosomal RNA (444 nucleotides) under uncultured soil bacterium. RNAcentral's name for it is "bacterial SSU rRNA". It matches the Rfam family "Bacterial small subunit ribosomal RNA", at positions 26 to 469 of the family's 1533-position model. The record is from RNAcentral.
AGAUUGAACGCUAGCGGGAUGCUUUACACAUGCAAGUCGAACGGCAGCGCGGACUUCGGUCUGGCGGCGAGUGGCGAACGGGUGAGUAAUAUAUCGGAACGUGCCCAGUAGCGGGGGAUAACUACGCGAAAGCGUGGCUAAUACCGCAUACGCCCUACGGGGGAAAGGGGGGGAUUCUUUCGAGAACCUCUCACUAUUGGAGCGGCCGAUAUCAGAUUAGCUAGUUGGUGAGGUAAAGGCUCACCAAGGCGACGAUCUGUAGCUGGUUUGAGAGGACGACCAGCCACACUGGGACUGAGACACGGCCCAGACUCCUACGGGAGGCAGCAGUGGGAAUUUGGACAAUGGGGAAACCUGAUCCAGCCAUCCCGCGUGUGCGAUGGAAGGCCUUCGGGUUGUAAGUCUACUUUGGCGAGGAAGAACGCGUGACUAAUAUUCAGUCGU